RNAcentral lists this long non-coding RNA (456 nucleotides) under Sinocyclocheilus anshuiensis. RNAcentral describes it as "lncRNA (ENSSANG00000026086.1)". The record is from RNAcentral. Lineage: Eukaryota; Metazoa; Chordata; Actinopteri; Cypriniformes; Cyprinidae.
AUGAAUUCAGAAGACUUGCAAUGUAGCGCACAAGUUGUAUGAAGUUUUUUUUUUUUGAGGUUGAUCAGAAUGGUCACAUUGAACUUUCAUUGAAUGCAAACAACUGUGAGGUUGGCGCAAGAUGGCGGAUGUCCAAGCUGCUCUUUUCAACGCAAGUGAAUGGUGACUACAGCUGUCAAGCACUUUUCAAGAUGCUCAAAAACACACCUCUUUGAUCCGGGUUCGAAGACCUCCAUGAAUCUGCUGGUACCUCUUCCACCUGAUGUUCGGAGACCACUUACAGGGGAAACAGGAAGAGGCCAUGUUCAGACUGCCUGUAGAUCAGCUAACGUGGAUUGAGCCAUGCAACGUUUUCCGAAGACAGAAGAGAAACUUAAUGAGAGGAGACAGAAGUCCUAUUUAAAAGUAAAUAAGACGGGUAAUUAAUUCUCAGAUCGCACAGUAUCUCAUAUAAAG